Molecule: ribosomal RNA, 254 nt
Filed under: uncultured bacterium
Lineage: Bacteria
Description: partial 16S ribosomal RNA
Rfam family: Bacterial small subunit ribosomal RNA
Source: RNAcentral
UACGUAGGGUGCGAGCGUGAAUCGGAAUUACUGGGCGUAAAGCGUGCGCAGGCGGUUCGUUGUGUCGGCGGUGAAAGCCCCGGGCUCAACCUGGGAAUGGCCGUUGAAACUGGCGAACUGGAGUGUGGCAGAGGGGGGUGGAAUUCCGCGUGUAGCAGUGAAAUGCGUAGAGAUGCGGAGGAACACCGAUGGCGAAGGCAGCCCCCCUGGGCUAACACUGACGCUCAGGCACGAAAGCGUGGGGAGCAAACAGG